This 199-nucleotide long non-coding RNA is filed under the name Nicotiana benthamiana. RNAcentral's name for it is "long non-coding RNA (NBEN_LNC042609)". Lineage: Eukaryota; Viridiplantae; Streptophyta; Magnoliopsida; Solanales; Solanaceae. The record is from RNAcentral.
GAAAUCUGGAAACUAUGUCAUUUUUCCUCACCACUCCAGAUGUUAAUUUCCCAAAUUCUCAGAACCCCACACUGCCAUAAAAUAUCCUAAAGCCACAAAACAAUCCGGAUCCUCACCACCACUGCAACACUUGCCAUACUUUAAACAAUACACUAUUACUCAUUCUUGAGCCCCUAAACUCCACAAAUGACCACUGCCA